RNAcentral lists this ribosomal RNA (1347 nucleotides) under Cucujus clavipes (red flat bark beetle). RNAcentral's name for it is "eukaryotic LSU rRNA". It matches the Rfam family "Eukaryotic large subunit ribosomal RNA", at positions 70 to 1139 of the family's 3401-position model. The record is from RNAcentral. Lineage: Eukaryota; Metazoa; Arthropoda; Insecta; Coleoptera; Cucujidae.
UAGGAUUCCCUCAGUAGCUGCGAGCGAACAGGGAUAAGCCCAGCACCGAAUCCCGCGGCCGACACCGGACGCCGGGAAAUGUGGUGUUAGGGAGGAUUCAUAUAUCCCGAGAUUUUGCGGUGCGUCCAAGUCCUUCUUGAACGGGGCCACAGUCCAUAGAGGGUGCCAGACCCGUAGUGACCACUGCUGAUCGCGGGAGAAUCUCUCCUCAGAGUCGGGUUGCUUGAGAGUGCAGCCCUAAGUGGGUGGUAAACUCCAUCUAAGGCUAAAUAUGACCACGAGACCGAUAGCGAACAAGUACCGUGAGGGAAAGUUGAAAAGCACUUUGAAGAGAGAGUUCAAGAGUACGUGAAACCGUUCAGGGGUAAACCUGAGAAACCCGAAAGGUCGAAAGGGGAAAUUCAUUCGCGUCUCGAUAUUGGCAUUGAAUGAUCGUAUGACGAAUAGCGUCCGCGUUGUUCGCAUCUUUUAUUCUUUGAACUAAUGUCGAAUGCGUGCACUUUUCCCCUAGUAGGACGUCGCGAUCCGUUGGGUGUCGGUCUAAGGCCCAUGGUGGAGCCCAUUCGGACAGUUUACACUGUUUCGUAUGGACCCGUGGUGUUUCCCGACCGGCUCGCUCGACGGUAUACAGAUGGCGCAGAGCCGCGACACAGUUCGCGUUCGGCCCUUUGCAAGCACAAUUCGGUGUUUGCCGGUGAUCGGACCUAGUGCCGUUCCUGGCCCCGAUUGUCUGUUGGCAAUUGUGUUCUUGAACAGACUCUGAUGAAACGCCGAUCUGCGGCGCUAUAGCUUUGGGUACUUUCAGGACCCGUCUUGAAACACGGACCAAGGAGUCUAGCAUGUGCGCAAGUCAUUGGGAAAUGACUAAACCUAAAGGCGCAAUGAAAGUGAAGGUUCGUCUUGCACGAACCGAGGGAAGAUGAGCGGUUUGCCCUUAAAGUGGCCGCUCCGCACUCCCGGGGCGUCUCAUUCUCAUCGCGAGAAGAGGCGCACCAAGAGCGUACACGCUGGGACCCGAAAGAUGGUGAACUAUGCCUGGUCAGGACGAAGUCAGGGGAAACCCUGAUGGAGGUCCGUAGCGAUUCUGACGUGCAAAUCGAUCGUCGGAACUGGGUAUAGGGGCGAAAGACUAAUCGAACCAUCUAGUAGCUGGUUCCCUCCGAAGUUUCCCUCAGGAUAGCUGGCGCUCAUUGUACACGAGUCUCAUCCGGUAAAGCGAAUGAUUAGAGGCAUUGGGGUCGAAACGACCUCAACCUAUUCUCAAACUUUAAAUGGGUGAGAUCUCCGGCUUGCUCGAACUUAUGAAGCCGUGAGACACGGAUCAGAGUGCCAAGUGGGCCAUUUUUG